CUAAUACAUGCAAGUAGAACGCUGAAGGAGGAGCUUGCUUCUCUGGAUGAGUUGCGAACGGGUGAGUAACGCGUAGGUAACCUGCCUAGUAGCGGGGGAUAACUAUUGGAAACGAUAGCUAAUACCGCAUAACAGUAGAUGUUGCAUGACAUUUGCUUAAAAGGUGCAAUUGCAUCACUACCAGAUGGACCUGCGUUGUAUUAGCUAGUUGGUGGGGUAACGGCUCACCAAGGCGACGAUACAUAGCCGACCUGAGAGGGUGAUCGGCCACACUGGGACUGAGACACGGCCCAGACUCCUACGGGAGGCAGCAGUAGGGAAUCUUCGGCAAUGGACGGAAGUCUGACCGAGCAACGCCGCGUGAGUGAAGAAGGUUUUCGGAUCGUAAAGCUCUGUUGUAAGAGAAGAACGGGUGUGAGAGUGGAAAGUUCACACUGUGACGGUAUCUUACCAGAAAGGGACGGCUAACUACGUGCCAGCAGCCGCGGU
Molecule: ribosomal RNA, 489 nt
Filed under: unidentified oral bacterium SH8
Lineage: Bacteria
Description: bacterial SSU rRNA
Rfam family: Bacterial small subunit ribosomal RNA
Source: RNAcentral